UCUUUGGAGAGUUUGAUCCUGGCUCAGGACGAACGCUGGCGGCGUGCCUAAUACAUGUAAGUCGAGCGGACCGAACGGGAGCUUGCUCUGGUUUGGUCAGCGGCGGACGGGUGAGUAACAC
Molecule: ribosomal RNA, 121 nt
Filed under: Geobacillus sp. PK12
Lineage: Bacteria; Bacillati; Bacillota; Bacilli; Caryophanales; Anoxybacillaceae
Description: partial 16S ribosomal RNA
Rfam family: Bacterial small subunit ribosomal RNA
Source: RNAcentral